This is a long non-coding RNA of Apodemus sylvaticus (European woodmouse), 4045 nucleotides long. RefSeq lists it as uncharacterized. The transcript is spliced from 3 exons. NCBI's taxonomy places the organism in Eukaryota, Metazoa, Chordata, Mammalia, Rodentia, Muridae. The record is from RefSeq and is a predicted model, not a curated record.
UAAAGCCUAUCGUUCAAGGUCUGUUUAGCCUGCCUAUCAUGGCAGAUAUUCAAGGUCUGCUUAGCCAAGGUCUGUUCAGCCUGCCUGGCGAAUGUUCAAGGUCUGCUUGGCCUGGACAGGCUGGGGAGGCCACAAAGGACGGCAGCAAUCCUCCUGUGAGACAGGCUCCUGUGCCUCCCCACAGCUGGUCGUCAAGAUGUGUAGCCUCUGAUGUACAAAGUUGGGCUUUCUUAGCUGACAUUCUGUAGCCCAACUUUGUAACUCGUGCAGCAGUCCCUCAGAGGGAUUUAUUUAAUAACUUAUUUUAGUUUCAGAGACUAGGAGGAGGUAUGGUAAGAGUAAAUAAAUAAAUAGUAUAAGAGUCUGGUCCCGGGACACCUCUGAUGGAAGGGCAGGAGGUCGGCAUGUUGUGUCUCAUCAGACAAGAUUAGAGAAUUGUUGAAUCCUUGGGGCAACCUGGUCCAGGUAAGUGGCCUGCUGUAACCUCCCUCUGGCCCUGUCCAUGUGACAGCACAGAUGGGUUGUCUCACCUCUGCCCAUGGGAGGCUGAAGAGCGCAGCUGUCAGGUGCAAGGCAGAGCACACCUAUUCCUCUGGAAGAACCAGACUCGUGAGAAUCAGAGGUCCCAGGUUUCUUCGCAGGCAGGAGAAGUGUUCUGUAGGGUGACUGGCAGGCACCAGGAUGCUGGUCUCUCUAAAUUGCAGUGUGGACUGCAAUGUCUCUUUGUGUUUCCAGGCUCACUGAGUAUUGUUUGAUCUGGAUGCGGGUGGCUGAACUGGUUAGUUGAAUGGUUAUAGGAACUUGGUGUUGGGCCAGUUCUAGUUGGUUUCUGCCUAUACCCCUGGAAAUCUUUGUUGUGAGACGUUGACAACAACUGUAUGCUUUAAUUGGAGGUAAGACUUUCAGCUAGACAUUUUUCUUCUGACAGGGGGCAGGACACCAAACUUUUGUGAGGUAUGUGUAAGUUGAACUGCAUCUCAUUGUCAGAGAAGGUGAUGGUGGCUUUCAGUUUAUGUAAAAGGUCUUGUCUCUCAAUUGGUUCUCUCUGUUGUAAAACACCUUUUGAGCUACCUCCAGCAACUGGAUUCUAUUUAUACCUUUAAAAUUUUUACUUAUUAAUAAGCUUUUUAGCAGCUGACUUUACCCCUUCUUAAAGAGACCUAGUGAAAAUUAUUUAAAAUCUCUGUCUUAAUUAGGGUUUCUAUUGCUAUGAAGAAACACCACGAUCAUGGCAACUCUUUAAAGGAAAACAUUUAAUUGGGGCUGGCUUAUACUUUCAGAGGUCAUCAUAGUGGAGUGCAGGAAGACAUGGUGCUGGAGAAGGAGCUGAGAGUUCUAGAUCUUGAUCCACAGGCAGCAGAAAGUGAACAUCUGAGACCUCAAAGCCUAGCCACACACCCCAACCAUGUCAACUAUUCCAUCAAGGCCGCACCUCCUAAAAUACCACUCUCUAUGGGCCUGUGGGAGCCAGUUUUAUUCAAGCCACCACAGUUUCCUUGAUCAGUGUUGGACAGAAGGGAAAGAUUUGUUCUGUUGGGGGCUGCAUUGUCCAGUAGUGAGUCUCCUGCCCAGCAUGGGAGUGGUUUCUCUCUCUUUUUUUCAGAGAAUGGAGAGACUUGGUUGAAAAGGAGACAUAAAUCAUGUAAAAAAGGAGCAGAGCUUCCUCUUUGCUCCUUCCUUUGUCCUGCUAGAAGUGAAGCAGGCUGAAUGUAUAUCAGGGAACAAUCCCCCUUCCCCACCCCCACCCCAUGCAUUCUGCUUAAAUGGCAGGGGGUCCUAGAUGAGAGUCUUGACCUCUCCCCACCCCCACCCAGGGAGCAUGAGCAGGAGGGGUGAGGGCUCUUUUGGUUUCUCUGGGUAACCUGGCAGAGCCAAAAGGAUUCCAGUCCCCAACAAAAGGCACAGUUCUUAAGCUGGGGGUGGGGUGCGUGUCUCACAGCCACUGGUCAAUACUGAGAAAUAAAGCUGGCAGAAACACAUUGAAAGGCAGACAGAGACACACACACACAGUAAGAGACACAAUAAAGACAAUGGGGUGGCCUCCGCACAUUCCACACUCUUGAACAGACAGGAGGAAUCCAGUGACAUCUCACAGGGAUCCUGGACACAAACACAUCUGACCUUUCCCAUAUGUUCAAACAGAAGGCAGACUUACCCCCUUAAGUAACAGACCAGGCCACUUCCUAAUUUGUUUGCUGUGACCUCCUCAGCCUAUACAGGCUAAGCAGACCUUGAACAUUCGCCACAACAGGCAAGCUAAACAGACUUUGAAAGUUUGCUACUUUAUCGGCCUAAACAGAGACAUCUAUCUGCCUUGGCUGUAGCUGCGAAUUUUGACUUACUGGAAAUAGGGAGCUACCAAGAAAUAAAAACCUAUCAGAUUGGCUGCUGUGCUGUUGUUAGCCUGAGUUACUGUUUUGGGGAUGGGUUUUGUGGUUUUUCCCUUUAUAUACGCUGUACUAAAUGUCAAACUUUGAGCUUUGGCCAGAACACAAUCUUGGCUCUGUCUUCUCCCCUGUCCUUUCAUUUCCAGCCCUCUUUUUAGGUGAACGCCGCUAGCUACCUACAGGUGGCGCCUGAAUAGGGAACGUGGAAAAAAAAAAAAAAAACCAAACCGGAAGACUGAGAAAUGCUGCUUUGGUUCGAGCGCUCCACGGAACCAAAGUAAAAGUAAAAGCCCUGAGGUGACUUCCCAGACAGCAGACUCUGACCUCCAAGACAUAGAGGAAGUAGAGAUCACCAGAGACACCUGGCUUGACUCUGAGUGGGAACCUGAUAAGACUCCAGCCUCUCUCAACUCCUGCAGUCUUGGAGACAGGCUGGCCUCAGAUGGAAGGGCACUGAGGGGCCUCUUGAAGAGCCUUCCCGUCGUGUCUAAGUGUGGAGACAGCAUUGGCCAGGAAUGUAGUGUAGAGCAGCCAGCCGGCUUGCCUCCAGGAGCCAUGCCCUGCUCUCAGAAAAGAGACACUUGGCACACUUGGUACUCUGGCCCCAGGGGGUCCCAGGGACAGAGGGGUAGCGCCAAGAAGACUGCUGAACUGGGCAGUUGUUUGGAUCAACACCAGCAGGCCCACAGGGCACCAAGGCACACCGCUGUGAGGCCUGUGGUAAGAGCUUCAGGUACAACUCUCUUCUGCUAAAGCACCAGCGCAUCCACACCGGGGAGAAGCCCUACGCCUGCCAUGAGUGCGGCAAGCACUUCCGGAGCUGGUGGGGCUUCACGCAGCACCAGCGCAUCCACACUGGCCUACGAAUGUGGCCAGGGUGGCCACGCCUUCAGCUAGAACUCCAACCUGGUGCACCACCAGAGGCUGCACACCAGGGGGAAAGCCUUAUGUCUGCAGCCAGUGCGGCAAGGCCUUCACCUGGAGCUCUGUCCUCAUAGGACACCAGCGCAUCCACACCGUCAGGAAGCCCUACAGGUGCGAAGACUGUGGCAAGGCCUUCCGAGGACAGUUGCACUUCUUCCGGCACUUACGGACCCACACCGGGGAGAAGCCCUUUGCCUGCGGCACCUGUGGCAAAGCUUUUGGCCAGAGCUAUCAGCUCAUCCAGCACCAGAGGCUGCACUACCACAAGGAGCACUCACCCCAGUAAAGUUUGGGUAAACCUGCUCCUCCUGAGUAAGACUGGGAUGCUUUAGAGGUGCACAGCAGGGCGUGUCCAUGUCCAGGUGCGAUGGCUAAUGAAACUCCAUUUUAUGGUAGGUAUUCAACUUGGAACCCACUAGCCAUUUCUCUCUGACUCCAGUUCCCAGAAGAGCCCAGUAACCCUGACUCAGUGACUCCUACCCAAAAAUGGAUAGCCAUUACCAUCUACCUGUUAUGACAUGACUGCCUGCUUUGUUGGCUUCUGUAACCUGCUUAUGCAGACAUUCAAGGCCUGUUUCAAGGUCGCCCUGACUCCCUGACCUUGGCAGAGCAGCACUGCUUAAGCAGCACAGCUCCUGGCCUGCUUACGCAGACACUCAAUGUGGGUUUCACCAUUACAAAUCAUUCCCUCACCCCUCGCACAGCAGUCUCUAGUUUGGCUCAGAGACUGGAGU